GUGGGGAAUAUUGGACAAUGGGCGCAAGCCUGAUCCAGCAAUGCCGCGUGCAGGAAGAAGGCCUUCGGGUUGUAAACUGCUUUUGUACGGAACGAAACGGUCCGGGUUAAUACCCUGGGCUAAUGACGGUACCGUAAGAAUAAGCACCGGCUAACUACGUGCCAGCAGCCGCGGUAAUACGUAGGGUGCAAGCGUUAAUCGGAAUUACUGGGCGUAAAGCGUGCGCAGGCGGUUUUGUAAGACAGGUGUGAAAUCCCCGGGCUCAACCUGGGAACUGCACUUGUGACUGCAAGGCUAGAGUGUGUCAGAGGGAGGUGGAAUUCCGCGUGUAGCAGUGAAAUGCGUAGAGAUGCGGAGGAACACCGAUGGCGAAGGCAGCCUCCUGGGAUAACACUGACGCUCAGGCACGAAAGCGUGGGGAGCAAACAGGAUUAGAAACCCUGGUAGUCC
RNAcentral lists this ribosomal RNA (450 nucleotides) under uncultured bacterium. Its description in RNAcentral is "partial 16S ribosomal RNA". It matches the Rfam family "Bacterial small subunit ribosomal RNA", at positions 354 to 796 of the family's 1533-position model. The record is from RNAcentral.